Molecule: long non-coding RNA, 2568 nt
Organism: Gallus gallus (chicken)
Lineage: Eukaryota; Metazoa; Chordata; Aves; Galliformes; Phasianidae
Exons: 3
Source: RefSeq, a predicted model, not a curated record
UAAUCUGCAAGACUAUAACUUUCACUUUCCAAACAGAUCUCAAAUUCCUGCCCUUGGCACAGCAUCAUAGAGGACUUGCUUUCACUCACAUGGAUUAACUCUCUCUGAACAGCUUACCAAGAUAAUUGGCACAGCCACUCCUUUUCUUCAAAGCUUGCUUUUGAUCACCUAUUUUCUUUCUUCCUCCAAUGAGUACAUAAUGAGCAACAGUGAGUACCUAACGUAUAACAGUGACUUUAAUUACCACCACAUCAACUGGCAAGAGUGUUUUCCAAGAUUGCCAAUUAAACAAAACAAGCAAAAGCAUGGCACAGUGCUGUAUAAAAGAUACCUGUAAGCAAGCUGCCCCAUGUACCAGCUGCAGUUCAGCAUGCUGCCACAUGCUCUGCCUCCCUCGUGAGAAAGGAGACACAGCAGCCCAGGGAGACAGCAUGCACACAAGGCCACCACACACUCAAACAGAGAUACAGGGAUGCAAGUUAUCUCCCCACAGCUACACAGAGUCCAUGACAGAGGGAGAAGCAGGGUUUGUAACAGCAGCUCCAAGCAGAACACAGCAGUAAGCUACACCUCGCUCUACAGCAUGGGUGAAGAAAAGAGAGAUGGAAGCCUGCAAGGAGCCGUGCUGCAAUACAGCACUGUCAGAGCUGACUCCUUCAGCAGCAGCACCCUGUGCAGUGCCCCUGCUCACCUAGCUCCAGGCUCACCGUGGAGCCGCCUCUGAUUCUUCACUCUGUACCCACUGCCAUUUCACUGGGAAUGCCUCCUCCCACAAACUGCUGCAGCCCUGAGGUUCAAAUGGCAGUAAGGUCUUCUAGCAAGGCCUGGGAGACAGCACUGAGCUGGGAAAACUAAGUUAUUAAGGACCACAUUGGUGCGGGUUUUUGUUUCGGCUGGAACAAAACUUAAAUCUCUUUCCCUGCCAUGGCUACUGUAAUACCGCACAACUACUCAUUAUCCUUAUCUUAACUAGAGAAGCUCCUUUCAAUUUAGCUUUUAAUGUAAUUAUGGCAAAUUAAAUCCUGUUCAGGAAAAAUCUUAUUUUACCAGAGCUAUUAUAUUACCUCUACAAAACUGUCAGUUAAAAGCUAUAAAACACUGGGGGUUUGUAUCUACUCAGCGAGCAGAAAAGUGAGUUAUUAAACUGAAAUUUACUUAAAUUCUAUUUCCAAAGUCAAUACCACAUCUCCAAGGGAAAAUGGUAGAUGCUCAAUGGCAGCACAAUGACCCUGGCAGUACUGCGACACUUGAACACCAAUUCUCUGUUCACUUCCAUUCACUUCAGUGAAGUUUCAUAAAUAUAUUUUAAUAUGAGGAUUUGUGUUUCACUAAAUAUGGCAAACAGUCAUCCUCGUGUCCUUUCAGCAAAAUUAGCUCUGGCUAGAGUUGUAUUGCUGAUGUGUGAGAGACACGUACAGAACAAAACAGUUGGCUGCCACAAAGUCAAGUGGAAAACACACAUUCACUUCAAGGGGUUCAGGAUGUCAAAUGUAGCAUGGAAAAUGAAACCAGAGAAGCCAGGAGGACACCAGAUAAGAAGCCAUGUGCAUUUACAUGUCACCUAAGAAACAUAUGGUAAGUGGUAAAAGCUUGAAGAACUGGGUAUUCCAAGCACUGACUCAAGCACAAAGGUUCCUGUUUCUAGUAGUCCUAUUACAGCCAAUGUGAUUUCAUUUGUGAGGACAAAUUGCAGAUAUGGAUUUCAUGCCUAUGCACAUCUUUGUCAUGGAAGACUGAAAAUUGCAAGCAGAGAUUUCUGGAAGCACAGUCUGUUUAAAGCAAUUAAUUUCUACACUAUUAUCCAGGGGGAGGUAGGUGGGGGUAGAAAUAGGCAACGCAUCUACAAGAGGUACCCAAGAAAGGUAGAUACAUCUCAGUAUGGUCAGUUUGUGUUCUUAUGAAUAAUAAAUGCUAGAUUGUAAUAUUUGAAUUGAUAUCAGAAUUUUAACAUGGUGCAAGCAUACCAGACAUAGGGAACAAAAUGUUAAGUAGGAAGUAUAUUUAUAAUAUCAUUGUUCAACAAUUGAAAGAACAUUAUCAAUAAUUAGCAGCAGGCACUGAAACUGCUUUCUGCUAACCAUAGUUGCCGGCCAUGGCAAGGUUGAUAUUAAUGCAAUAAAGUCAGGUGAUGACAGCUUUAUAGCAGAGAGCAACAUACUGGACGUUUCUGGGAAAAGAAUCUAGCACUGAGGGGAUUAUUUGGGUUAAAUGACUUCUGAGUCACAGCUGAUUGUUCAGUCUCUCUCUUGGUGUAUACCUCCCUUUUAUUUCCUCAUGAGGAUGUGUCUGUUUAGAGAAGAGGAAGAAAGUGGCACUGCUGCAGCCGCUCUUUGCUACUUUAGAGUUAACAUCCACUAUCUUGCUGACACAGUGAGAUUUCUCUCAUUUAUAUUACAGAGUAGCCUAGCCAAAGCCAAGGCCACAUUGCACAUUGCCACAUUGUGUGAACUUACAGAAUGCAGACCUUGACACCAAGGAACCUGUAAUCCAAGCAGACACAAGCCAAGACAAAAAGAGACAAAAAAGGCACAUGGAGGCAAUGUGACAUACCCAUGGCCACAUACUUUA